GGGGAAUAUUGCACAAUGGGGGAAACCCUGAUGCAGCGACGCCGCGUGAAGGAAGAAGUAUCUCGGUAUGUAAACUUCUAUCAGCAGGGAAGAAAAUGACGGUACCUGACUAAGAAGCCCCGGCUAACUACGUGCCAGCAGCCGCGGUAAUACGUAGGGGGCAAGCGUUAUCCGGAUUUACUGGGUGUAAAGGGAGCGUAGACGGAAUAGCAAGUCUGAUGUGAAAGGCUGGGGCUUAACCCCAGGACUGCAUUGGAAACUGUUGUUCUAGAGUGCCGGAGAGGUAAGCGGAAUUCCUAGUGUAGCGGUGAAAUGCGUAGAUAUUAGGAGGAACACCAGUGGCGAAGGCGGCUUACUGGACGGUAACUGACGUUGAGGCUCGAAAGCGUGGGGAGCAAAC
RNAcentral lists this ribosomal RNA (400 nucleotides) under uncultured bacterium. Its description in RNAcentral is "bacterial SSU rRNA". It matches the Rfam family "Bacterial small subunit ribosomal RNA", at positions 356 to 773 of the family's 1533-position model. The record is from RNAcentral.